GACGAACGCUGGCGGCGUGCUUAACACAUGCAAGUCGAACGGAAAGGCCCUGCUUUUGUGGGGUGCUCGAGUGGCGAACGGGUGAGUAACACGUGAGUAACCUGCCCUUGACUUUGGGAUAACUUCAGGAAACUGGGGCUAAUACCGGAUAGGAGCUCCUGCUGCAUGGUGGGGGUUGGAAAGUUUCGGCGGUUGGGGAUGGACUCGCGGCUUAUCAGCUUGUUGGUGGGGUAGUGGCUUACCAAGGCUUUGACGGGUAGCCGGCCUGAGAGGGUGACCGGCCACAUUGGGACUGAUAUACGGCCCAGACUCCUGCGGGAGGCAGCAGUGGGGAAUAUUGCACAAUGGGCGGAAGCCUGAUGCAGCAACGCCGCGUGCGGGAUGACGGCCUUCGGGUUGUAAACCGCUUUCGCCUGUGACGAAGCGUGAGUGACGGUAAUGGGUAAAGAAGCACCGGCUAACUACGUG
RNAcentral lists this ribosomal RNA (468 nucleotides) under uncultured bacterium. Its description in RNAcentral is "partial 16S ribosomal RNA". It matches the Rfam family "Bacterial small subunit ribosomal RNA", at positions 28 to 507 of the family's 1533-position model. The record is from RNAcentral.